GUGCCAGCAGCCGCGGUAAUACGAAGGGUGCAAGCGUUACUCGGAAUUACUGGGCGUAAAGCGUGCGUAGGUGGUUCGUUAAGUCUGAUGUGAAAGCCCUGGGCUCAACCUGGGAAUGGCAUUGGAUACUGGCGAUCUAGAGUGCGGUAGAGGGCAGUGGAAUUCCCGGUGUAGCAGUGAAAUGCGUAGAGAUCGGGAGGAACAUCUGUGGCGAAGGCGACUGCCUGGACCAGCACUGACACUGAGGCACGAAAGCGUGGGGAGCAAACAGGAUUAGAUACCCUGGUAGUCC
RNAcentral lists this ribosomal RNA (292 nucleotides) under uncultured bacterium. Its description in RNAcentral is "partial 16S ribosomal RNA". It matches the Rfam family "Bacterial small subunit ribosomal RNA", at positions 505 to 796 of the family's 1533-position model. The record is from RNAcentral.